GUAUUAGAGUGAUGCAAAAUUAAUUGCAUUUCUGUCAUUGUUUUUAAUGGCAAAAAUUGCAAUUACUUUUACACCAACCUAAUAUUU
This 87-nucleotide microRNA precursor is filed under the name Cebus imitator (Panamanian white-faced capuchin). RNAcentral's name for it is "miRNA (ENSCCAG00000011703.1)". Lineage: Eukaryota; Metazoa; Chordata; Mammalia; Primates; Cebidae. The record is from RNAcentral.